Molecule: ribosomal RNA, 570 nt
Filed under: Penicillium camemberti
Lineage: Eukaryota; Fungi; Ascomycota; Eurotiomycetes; Eurotiales; Aspergillaceae
Description: LSU rRNA
Rfam family: Eukaryotic large subunit ribosomal RNA
Source: RNAcentral
AACGGCGAGUGAAGCGGCAAGAGCUCAAAUUUGAAAGCUGGCUCCUUCGGGGUCCGCAUUGUAAUUUGCAGAGGAUGCUUCGGGAGCGGUCCCCAUCUAAGUGCCCUGGAACGGGACGUCAUAGAGGGUGAGAAUCCCGUAUGGGAUGGGGUGUCCGCGCCCGUGUGAAGCUCCUUCGACGAGUCGAGUUGUUUGGGAAUGCAGCUCUAAAUGGGUGGUAAAUUUCAUCUAAAGCUAAAUAUUGGCCGGAGACCGAUAGCGCACAAGUAGAGUGAUCGAAAGAUGAAAAGCACUUUGAAAAGAGAGUUAAAAAGCACGUGAAAUUGUUGAAAGGGAAGCGCUUGCGACCAGACUCGCUCGCGGGGUUCAGCCGGCAUUCGUGCCGGUGUAUUUCCCCGCGGGCGGGCCAGCGUCGGUUUGGGCGGUCGGUCAAAGGCCCUCGGAAGGUAACGCCCCUAGGGGCGUCUUAUAGCCGAGGGUGCAAUGCGACCUGCCUAGACCGAGGAACGCGCUUCGGCUCGGACGCUGGCAUAAUGGUCGUAAGCGACCCGUCUUGAAACACGGACCAAA